UAGUGAAAAAUGUGGAAAGUU
Molecule: non-coding RNA, 21 nt
Filed under: Caenorhabditis elegans
Lineage: Eukaryota; Metazoa; Nematoda; Chromadorea; Rhabditida; Rhabditidae
Source: RNAcentral